AGUGAACGCUGGCGGUAGGCCUAACACAUGCAAGUCGAACGGCAGCACAGUAAGAGCUUGCUCUUACGGGUGGCGAGUGGCGGACGGGUGAGGAAUACAUCGGAAUCUACUUUUUCGUGGGGGAUAACGUAGGGAAACUUACGCUAAUACCGCAUACGACCUACGGGUGAAAGCAGGGGAUCUUCGGACCUUGCGCGAUUGAAUGAGCCGAUGUCGGAUUAGCUAGUUGGCGGGGUAAAGGCCCACCAAGGCGACGAUCCGUAGCUGGUCUGAGAGGAUGAUCAGCCACACGGGAACUGAGACACGGUCCAGAACCCUACGGGAGGCAGGAGGGGGGAAUAUUGGACAAGGGGCGCAAGCCUGAUCCAGCCAUACCGGGGGGGGGAAGAAGGCCCUCGGGUUGUAAAGCCCUUUUGUUGGAAAAGAAAAGCAGCAGGUUAAUACCCCGCUGUUCUGACGGUACCCAAAGAAUAAGCACCGGCUAACUUCGU
This 491-nucleotide ribosomal RNA is filed under the name uncultured bacterium. Its description in RNAcentral is "partial 16S ribosomal RNA". It matches the Rfam family "Bacterial small subunit ribosomal RNA", at positions 29 to 506 of the family's 1533-position model. The record is from RNAcentral.